CUUUAACCAAAAUACCAAAAAUCCUUCAACAAUUAUUAUUUUUAAUUAAUAUAAAAUGUUAGGAAUUAGUUGUUAAAAUUACAUUAUACAAUACCUUAGGUGUUAAAAAUACAAAAUAAAAAAUAAAUAUUUUGCUAAAAUUAAAGCCUUAUAAUGAUUAAAAUUUAACUCGAUAAGGUAUAGACUUCCUCACAAAUAGAGAUCUACCUCAAAUCAUAGACGAGACCAAAAAAAAGAACAUGAUUUAAAAUAAAAAUCAAUCAACAAUGCAGCUUACCUUAGAUAGAGUGCACCAUAGGUGAUGCAUCAUCCUCUUGCAAAACUAGUCCUCAUGCCUAAGCUCUCGCAAACCAUAGAUUUUUUAGUGACCAUGAUAACUAGGUAGUGACUCUCUCUAAUCAUAACUUUAUGAUUGAACCCCAGACACCCUUCAUUCAAAGAGAUAGUUUUACCAUUCGUUGUCGUGCACAUCACGACAUCUAUAAUCAAGAUACUCUUUCAAAUAAAUAAAUCCUCUUAGUCAAUGAAAUUGUCAGGUUGCAUUUUCCCCUCAAAUUCAAGAAUAUCAACUCUCACAUUAGAAUCUUGUAAAGGUAUUAUAUUCUUUCUUCUUUGAUGCUAAAAAGAAAAAUUGCCAGUAGCAUCAUGAUGUGAUCUAUGAUAGAAAGAAUUAUCUUCCUCAUUAUUGCAAGAGGAACCAAUUUCAGUGUUAUUCUCAUUAUUAUCAUAAUCUCAAUUGUCAUAUCAUUCAAGAUAAUCUUGGAGUUGUUGGAUUUGUCUUCUCAUUUCAUCAAUUUAAAGAGCAUAAAUGUCCCUCUUGAAUUCUCACACGUGAUGUCCAUGAACAACCAUGAUUGUAAAUCCUAAGUUCUCAUACCAAUUUGAUAUCGAAAUGGUAUGGAUAUGAAAAGGUAACAUUUCAUACACAUAAUUGAUAAUGUUUCACUCACGACUCUAAAAUAUAAAACCUAAGAGAUAUAGAAAUGAAUAAACCAUCACUCUAAAAAUACAAAUCACUCACUAGUUUAGAUAUACAAAGUUAAGGUAGAAGUCCACCACUCACAAAGGAUAUCCAUAACUUGAUAGAUUGCCAAAAGAACAUGUUAAAGACUCAAUUUAAAUUUUACCAAAAGAUCUAAAUACAUAAUUUGAUUGAAGAACACUCUUCAAGUAUAGGAAAACACCAAAAUAACAUAAUUAAGACCUAAAAAAAUGAUUGUCAGAAAACUAGACAUUAUAAUUAUCAUGUUUUUAACUCAUAAGAAACACAAACAAACACUUGGAAUGCUUAAAAAAUAAAAUAGACAUAACUUCUUGUAGAAAACUUCAAUGCAUAUAUGGUUGUACAAUCUAAAAAGACCACAUUCUGAACUAGAAAGCUACACUGGAUAAGAUUAUUUUACCAAGCAAUAAAGACAAACAAAUUCAAGCUCAAAUUUGGUUCAUGGGUUAACUAUAAACAGUAGCAAAAAUUUCACUCAUUUGAAUUGUCAACCCAAACUCAAGUAGCGAAACAUCAAUAGAACCAUUAGAGGAUGCUCCUACAUCACCAAGUGUCAAUAGGAUUCUCAUGGUUUCUCCUCCUAUUUAAAACAAGUUUAUCACACCAAAUUAUCGUAUAAUCAAUAAAUUCAAUGACAACAAGCUUUAAAUUUUUCUCCUUCGAAUAUUGGUGGCAAUCAAAGAUCAACUCAACCUUUUUCUCUCACCUAAAUAGGCAUCACGAUCAUUCCUCCUUUGAAAUGCUAGAAUUUUUAACUUAGCACUUCCAAAAAUUCUCUCUAAGCCAUCACUAUACUCAAUCUCUUACCACUCUUUUAUGGCUGAAAUCCCUCAUCUCUUUGAUUUCUAUACUUGCUAAAAUCCAUCACUUUGGUGUAUUGAUGCAUGGUCAAAAUCAAUUCUGGCUUUUCACAAUAAUAUACACACCUUUUCAGUUCUUUAAGGAGGAAAUAAUAACAAACAAUAAAAAAAUCACAGCCUCAUAACGAUCAACCAAAGAUUUUGGAACUCAAAACAAUCAUGAAAAACAAAAAAGACAACAAUACAAAUUUACGACAACGAAAAUGAUAGCAAAAAUAAAAACAAUGAAUAUGUCAACAAACACAAAAACCAAAACGAAAACGAAAACAUAUGCAAGAAAGACUAAUAACUCAAAACCACAAUAGAUUAUACUGACCUGAAACUAACAACAACAACAACAACAACAACAACAAAUAAACAUAAUUAAUUGACAAUGCAAACUAAUUUCAGUAAACAAUGAUUUGUAAUUUUCACAAAUACCCCUGCCCCAUGUAUACUCAACUAAUCCUAAAAUCAAUGACAAAUAACAAAUUCAAGCUGGUAUGUAAGCAAACUAAUUUUGGUAGAAGGCUAACUUGCCAAUUUAUUAAGAAUCAUAACUUUCAAUUUUUAUGACAAAAUUAACAUGAGUUCAACUUUUUUUUGUACUAUAUUGAUUCUUAUUCGACAAUAGCCUUUUUGAACAAAAACCUUUUUUUUUCUUUUUUUUUAUACUUUUGCCACAAGAAUUAAGAUUGAAAAUUACAAACAAAUAACACGGAUAAUUUAAAGAUAGAUAGAACUUGAUUUUAAAGCCCUAUGCUUAUAUACCAACUAAUGCGAGCAAGAACCUUUGAACCCACAAACAAGAUAUAAAUAAUUUAAGAAAGCUAAAAUCAGAUUCAUAAAAACCUAAUCAAACGAUUACUUGAACCAAGAAAUCAAAGAUAUUUGGCGAAAAAGAACUCCAACCCUAUGAUUAUAAUGAAUCACAAACUGGAAGUAUAGGAAGAGCAUCACAAAGACAGAUGAUCUUUUAUAAGUCCAAGAAAUGUUCGAUGAAGAACCUACAUUAUGAGCAACUCAUAAACUCUCUAAAAAAAUCUUAAAUACAAGCUAAAUAACCUUGUUUAUAAUAGGUAAAAAAAUCCUAUAUAAAGAUUGAAAAUUAAUAAAAGAGUAUUAAUUCAAAUAAGAACAAGAAUCAUAAACCAACUAGAAAAAUAAUGUAAAUCCUGCACAAUAGCUUUUGAACCUUAUCACAAGGCCUUCACAAUGUUUGAUUGCUAUAAAAUUUUAACCCUAUAGAAAACAAGCCUUUAGAAUAUUCUGGAAAGCUUUCAUCAUGAUCCAAAGGCUUGAUAAAAAAAUUAUUCUUGUUAGCGUAAAACUAUGCAUUAGAAAAAAUAAAGCCCAAAACCAACUUAAACUUGUCCAACUCUUGAAGGAACCUGUAUAACAUGAGAAAACCAAGCCCAAACCGCCUUUCCUUAUCAUUAUUGCUUCACCAACUCCUUUUCUUGUUUGGAUUUACAUUAAUUAGAGUAUGAUCACCCCUUGUUAAAGUCUAAAAGCUUGAGUUGGCCCAAAUAUCCUAAAUAAGCCUAUUGGAUGUCUUUUUAAUUUUCUUGGUCAUUGACCUUGUAAUAAGCCUAAUUGGCACCUUUAUUAGAUCAUGUAUUGCUGCUUGAUGAUUCUUAUUACUAUAUUAAUUUCUUUUUUAAUUGGGAGGUAUAGUGAUGAAGUAUUUUUUCAUGUUGUUCCCAUGCAUACAGGUCACAUACAAUUAGGAAGAUUGUGGUAGUUUGAUAGAAAGCUUAUUUAUGAUGAGUUCUAGAAUAGGUACUCUUUGGUAAAUGAUAAUAAAAUAAUUACCCUUAUAUCUUUAACCCCAAAACAAGUAUAUGAAGAUCAAUUGAAAUUAAAAGAAGAGACUGAGGCCAAGAGGAGUGAAAAGAAAGAGGUGACUGAGAGGAGAGAAAAGAGAUAAGCCACAUGAGAAGAAAGAAAAAGAGGUUGUUGAGAGAAAAAUAUAGAAGCAAGUGAGUUUUUAUGCAAAAGAGUGCUUUUUAUACUAAUUAGCCUAUGUUUGUACUUUUCUACCAAAAGACAUGUUUUAAUACUAAAAAUCUUGAUCAAUCUCUCCUAGUAUUGCUAUUUCUUUGUUAUGUGUAUACGAGGAUAUAUUUCAUGAUGAUGUUCCUAAUGGUUUAGAUCCAUUUAUGGAAAUAAAACAUCAAAUUAAUCUCGUGUCUAAAGCUGCAAUUUCUAAUCGACCAACCUAUAGAAGAAGUUUGGAGAAUACAAAUGAGCUUCAAAUACAAGUUAAGGACUUGAUGGCUAAGGGGUACAUAAGGAAGAGCAUGAAUCCAUAUGCGGUAACAGUUUUUCUUAUGCCGAAAAAAGAUGGGUCUUGGAUGAUGUAUGGAUUGCUGGGCUAUAACCAACAUUACAAAAAAGUAUUAACAUCUACUUCUUAGGUUGGAUGACAUGUUAUAUGAAUUAUAUGGUUCAUGUAUCUUUCUGAAAAUUAAUUUAAAAGUGGUAAUCAUCAUCAAAUUAGAAUGAAAGAAUGAGAUAAAUGAAAAAUUGCCUUUAAAACUAAAUAUGAGUUAUAUAAGUGGUUGAUUGUGUCAUUACUAAUGCACCAAACACAUUUAUAAGAUUGAUAAAUCAUGCAACAAGCACAUUUAUAGGAAGAUUUAUUGCAAUCUAUUUUGAUGAUACCUUGGUAUACAUUGAAAGCUUAGAGGAACAUAUUAACCAUUUGUGUUGUGUGCUUGAUGUUUUGAGGAAUGAAAAAUUGUAAGCAAACUUAAAAAAAUAUACUUUUUCCAUGGAUAAAGUUGUUUUUCUUGGCUACAUUAUUAGUGCAAAAGGUAUAAAGAUAGUGAAGAAACUCCAUAAAAGUGUUCAACAUCAAAUACAAAAGAAGAAUGAAUAAUAUGCAUUUACAGCAAACAAGGAUUGUAGGCGUGUUAUCUUUGAAUCUAGUGAUUGAGUUUGGGUGUGCAUAUAAGAAAGAAAAGAUUUUCAACCCAUAGGCAAUCUAAGUUGCAGCUUAGAAAGAAUAGUCCAUUCCAAGUCCUUGAACAAAUUAACAACAAUGUAUAUAAAUUGGCACUUCCAAGCGAGCAUAAUGUUAAUGCUACAUUUAAUAUUUAUGAUCUCUCUUUUUAAUGUAUAUGAUGAUUCAAAGUCAAAUCAUUAUGACAAGGGAAAUGAUAAGAAUCAAUAAGCAACACUACAAAAUCCAUUGUUGAUUUGACUAAUUACAUGUAUAAGAGCAAGAGGAUCAAAAGGUUUUCAAUGUGUUGAUUUAUGACAUUCAGGUCAAGCAAGCUUCGAGAAUUCCUUCUAAAAUGGCGUAAGCAUAAAGUUAAGUUCAAAGAAGAAUCAAGCCUUGAUCAAUGUGAUCCAAGUAAGAGAUGAGAAUGAUUAGCAUGUACUAGAGCUUGGCUACACUACUUUAUAUUAACAGUCAUGACUUAUAAUCCAACCGUUAAAACUGAAAUUUUGCUAGAUUUUAAAGGUUCUUUUUCUUAUAGGGUUAAAAUUUCAUAGCAAUUAAUCAUUAAUAAAACCCUCCAAUAAAACCCAGAAGUUACUACAUAGAUUAAGAUUUUAUUUAUACAACACUUGGACUUUAUAUUUUAUUUUACCCAAACUUUUAAGUUAGCAUUUGUGUUUAACUUUCAAUCAAUAGUUGUUUAGGGUUUAUUUUUUAUUAAGUCAAAUUUUAGAAUGUGAAGACAAAUUGGUUUUUGAAUAAAAAUUUAUAAGCACUUUAUUUUGAUUCUUCAUUGAACUUUUCAAAAUUAUCAUGGAGAUCAUCUUUGUGGCGUUUUAGCCAUAUUCUUUCGUUUCUUGAUUCAAAUAAUCAACGAGUCACAUUUUAACUUUUUUGGGUAAGUAUCUCAAUUCUUAAUUAUGGGUUCUAAGGAUUUUGCCCUCUAGGUUGGCACAAGUUUCUAUCCCUCUUAUCUUCUAUCCCGAGACUGAUAACCCAACACUACCUCAAAGUUUCUUACUAUAAUUUGUGAAAUCUUAUCAAACAUGAGAAUGGUGCAGGUAACAUGUUUGACAUCUAUCACUACCCUUCAUCCUCUUCUUGAACUGCCUUUCAUAUAAUAAAAAUAAUGGAUUCUACAAUUGAAUUUCACUUGAGCUGCUGAGGCUAUAAAUGAUUAAAUUUUGUUAUGCUUCCCACAAAAUGCGAUGACAGGUGAUAUAAUGAUAACAGUUGUUUCAUAUCUCAACCAGCAGGGCAAGUAAAUAGAACCAUCAUCCAUAUGAUGGUAAAAGCACAAAGGACAGCCGUUCUGAAUUCAGAAAUCUUAAAAACAAACAAAUAAAUAAAUAAAAAAAAUCCUUCAUUAACCAUUGACGCAUAACAAAGGUCAAAACAUUAAAUUUAGUGUUUUACUGUGCAUGAGUAAUUAUAGUUUUAAGAUAUUACAAAUAUUCAUGGCUAAAUGGACCCCCCCCGUACAGUGAUACAUCAAUAACAAGUAGACCACCUUUAUUGAGGAAGAGAGAGAUUGAAGAUGUGCUUCAAAUCAUGUUAAAAAAAAUAUGCCUAAAAUAGUGAAUAUAAUGUAAAGCUCAUAUUGAUCCAGACCUUAAGAUAGUUCUACAGGAAUUCUCAGACCAUCGCGCGCCAGCUGCACUGGUAUUCCUUCCCUGCAUGGAAACAAUUAUAAGUUCAAAUUCUUUAAUUUAUUGUAAACACAAGAAUAGGGUAAUUGUCUGAUCACGUGAAGCAAAAUUUAUACCUUUGAGACCAUUCCGUUAGAAAGUCAUUGUCCUUGUAAUGAUCAAAUUCAUGGGUCAUUCCAAUUAAAAGAGCUCGCUUUGGGCAUAAUCUCUUCACUGUCUCAAGAGUCUGCAUAUUUACCAUAACAUGUGAGAAUAGAAGAAUGAAAAUGUUUCAAGUUAAUUAAAUGAUGAGAAAUAAAAGACGAACCUGAGGGAGGCAAAAGUGUGUAUUAUGAGACCCAUUCUGUACAAGAGGUAGAAAGAAUGGUGAUUAUAUGACAUAAAUUCCUGGAAGAUACCAAUGAGUUAUAAUGCAAAAUGGCAACAUGAAAUCCACUAUGUUGUCCAGCGAUAUUGAUGUGAAUCCGCCUAUAAUAUUAAAGGAUGCAUUAAAAGUGCUAGUUGGACCAAUUACAAGAUCAAGAGUCAAGAAACUUGAGGAAACAUUCAAUGGGCUUAUUUAGAAUAUUUGAGCUAAGACAAGCUACAAGUGAUUAUCACACCUUAAUUUGAUCAAGGAAGGGGCUGAUCCAUGGGCAUAAAGUUUUCGGCAAAUUGGGCAGCAUAGGGAGAGGCAGCUACAAGUUUUUUCCUUAUUCUACAAGGACCAGUGGCAGCUUAGGAGUUCCAUGUUUACAAAGAAUCCUAAUUAUUUAAGGAUUCUUAGCUGGCAGCAACUUUACUUAUCUUCCUAGGUAAUAAAGCUGACAACUUGUCUUUGAUUUGCAAGACAAAGUAGACUACUUUUCCUUAAUUAUCAAGGACUACAACGUUGGUUUUUCAAGGAUAUACAAAAGUCACUAACUCAUUUUUUAGACACAUACGACAACCUUGUUUUUUAUUCAGACUUGGGUUUUUUUGUUUAGUUUUCAUACAUUGGGUUAUUUUUAAAUUAGGUUUAACGUCAGCCCAUUAGUCCAUUAAGAUUAAGUCUAUUUUGACACUAUAAAUACUCUUUUGUAAAGAUUACUAUUCAAAUGAGAUUAUUAUUGAUUUUGCUGUAACUUUUGUGUGCUUGUGCAAAGAUUAUUCAUACCUAUUGGCACUUCAUUGACGAGUCUCGAAUUUUUCAAAAAGAUCAACUGUCUUUGUGGUAUUCAUCUUUAUACUUACAAUUCACAAUUCCUUAAAAUCAUCGGGUUAGAGUCUUCAUUCCAAUAACUUCAAUGUCUUGGUUCAGGCAAUCAUUGCGUUGAGUUUCUGCUAUCCUUAAAUAUGAUUUUUAGUUUUCUUGAGUUGUUUUUCCAUGCAUGUGGAUUCAAGGGUUCUUACUCUCCGGGUUCGCAUAAAUUAAUAUCAGAGCAAGGCUCGAAAAUCAAAUUAUAUUUUUCUUUAAGUUUUUGCAUUUAAAUCAUAUUAAUAUUGAUUUUGCCGCAACUUUUGUGUGCUUAUGUGAGGAUUAUUCAUACCUAUUGGCUCUUCAUUGAAAAGUCUUGAAUAUAUCAAAACGAUCAACUAUCUUUGUGGCGUUCAUCCUUGUACUUACAAUUCACGAUUCCUUAAAAUCAUUAGGUUAGAGUCUUCAUUCUGAUAACUUCGAUAUCUUUAGUUCAAGUAAUCAUUGUGUUGAGUUUUUGCUAUCCUUAGAUAUAAUUUUUAGCUUUUUCCAUACAUGUGGGUUCAAGAGUUCUUACCCUCCGAGUUCGCAUAAGCUGGUAUCAGAGCAAGGCUCUAAAAUCAUAUUAUACCUUUCUUUAAGUUUUCGCUUUAGUUUUCAUUGUUUUCUUUACAUUUGAUUGUUGCAGCAUAGUAUAAAAAAGGGUUGAAAAUCGCAUAUUGUGAAAUCACCGCAAAGUAAAAGUUACAAAAGUUUGAAUUCAGGAUUUGAAAAAUAACAACACAAUCUUAUAUUUCUUGGAGUAUUGGAUAUCUAAGUUUUGAUAAUUGAUUUCAGGGUUAUUUGAACACACGUAGGUUCAAGUAAUUUUGAAUUGCAAAAUUGGUUUCUUUUACAUUGACCAAAAAACUUCUUUGUUUUGCUAUUGUUAGUUUCAGUCAAAUUAGUAGUCUAUUGAUAGUUUCAGUCAAAAAAAGAAGUGGCUAUUGAUUCUAAAGGUAAAUCUUAUACUCAAUCUACUGUUAACCAUGAUGUUAAGUGUUUUAAAUGUUUGGGAGUUAGACAUAUAGCUUCUUAUUGUCCAAACAAGAGAGUUAUGAUUUUACAAGAUUACAACGAGAUUGAGACCAAGACACACAACACUAAUGAUAAGAUGUCACCACUUGAGGAUGCUAGCGAUGAAAAUGUAAUUUAUCCAGUUAAGGAAGAAUCAUUGGUUAUUCGGCGUGCACUAAAUGUUCAGAUCAAGAAAGAUAAUUUGGACUAGUAAGGGAGAAUAUCUUCCAUACACGUCAUAUCAAUAACAAAGUAUGUAGUAUGAUUAUUAAUGGUGGAGUUGUUCUAAUGUUGCUAGUCUUAUAUUUGUUAGAAAAUUGAAUAUGAUCACUAUUAAACAUCAUAGACCAUAUAGGCUUUAAUGGUUGAAUGAAUGUGGAAAAGUUAAGGUUAAUAAACAGGUCUUGGUGUCUUUAGGAUUGGAAAAUAUAAUGAUGAGGUUUGAUGGCUUCUAUGCAUGCAAGUCACUUGUCAUUGGGGUGUUUGUGGCUAUUUGAUAGGAGAGCAAUGUAUGAUAGGUUUAGAAAUAGAUAUUCUUUUGUAAAAGAUGGAAAAUCCAUCACAUUUGUACUAUUGUCACUAAAACAAGUUUACGAAAACCAAUUGAAACUCAAUAGAGAAAGGGAAGCCAAAGGGAGUGAAAAUCAUGGAGAGGCAGUGAGCUUUGAGGAGAGAAAAAAGCAAAAUUCGGUCAAGAGAGAAUAAUAGUGAGCUAGUUGACAAUGGCGGGAAAAAAAAAAGAUAGUGUUGAGAAAAAAACAAAGAAGCAUGAGAGUUCUUAUGCAAGAAAGAGUUUUGUUAAAAAUGUUCUUUAUACUAACAAUCCUGUGCAAAAUUGUGGUGUUGUUUCUUUGUUGCAAAAUUAUGAUGUCUUGCCCAUAGAUAGUAUACCUAGUGGUUAUUAGGCUUGGGUGCAAAUGUACAAAGAGAGAUUUCCAGCCCAAUGGAGAUCUAAGUUAAAUCAAAAGGGAGAUGAUCUAUUCCAAAUUCUAGAAAGGAUCAACAACAAUACAUACAAAGUGGAUCUUCCAGGUGAGUGUCAGUGUUAUUUUCAAUGUUUUUUAUCUUUCUCCAUUUAAUAUAGGUGACAAUUUAAGGUCAAAUCUUUUUUAGGAGAAAAGGAAUGAUGCAAAUCAGCCUACAACAUCAAAGGUUCAGAUUGGAUUAUAAUUGAUUUUGCCACAACUUUUAUUUGCUUUUAUGUGCUUGUGUGAGGGUUGCUCAUACCUAUUGGUUCUUCAUUGAACUUAAACUAUCUUGAACUUAUCAAAGAUCAAUUAUUUUUUUGCGUUCUUCCUUGUGCUUCCAAUUCACAAUUACUUAUAAUCGUUGGGUUGGAGUGUUCAAUCCAAUAACUUUAUGUCUUGAUUCAAGUAAUUAUUGUGUCAAGUUUUUUUAUCCUUAAAUAUUAUUUUUAGCUUUCUUGUUGUUUGUGUAUAGGUUCAAUGGUUCUUACCCUUGGGUUCACAUUAGAUAUUAGAUAUGAAUGAAAUAUAUUGGCAUUACCAAAUUUGUAAAAAACAAAUUGCAUAUCAACCACAUUUAUUGAUGAAAGUCAAAUAGCAUGAACUAUAUUCCAAUCUCAAUCCAUAAUUUGAUUAUGAAUCUUUUUCCUUUUCUUUUUUUUUCCACGACCAUUUAGACUCGAACUAUACUACAAGAAGGAACAUUUCCCUUCCCUAAAUCCUUUCCUUAUAAGAAGAGCAAUGCAUAUUAUAACUAUUGACUACUGAAGCCAUUUCGAUCAAGUUUCAAAAUCAUAUGGUUUCCUUUUUCUGGUUCAUUGGAAGGAUAUUGGGCUUUGAGCUAUGCAGCUAGGAGGGACCAUUCCCUUCCCUACUAUCUCACAUAUGAGCAGGAUUUGAUCCCAAGUCACUUGAAACAGCACCAUGCCACUUUGAAUAUUAGAAACAAAUGCAACAAAAUGUGCGCAGUGUAAUUGCAUAUUUCACUCAAAAUCCUAAUUUGCCAAAACGGUCAGCCUUCCAACUUGGCAAUUGAUUGAGGUACAUUUCAGCCUCCAUUGAAUAUCUCAUACAAAGUUAAGCAAUAAGAUGGCAAGGCAACAAUGAUGACGUCUGUAAAUUGAAUGACAAAUUGAGACGGGCACAUAAUUGGAAUUCAGAGAAAACUAAGAGGACCAUUUUGCAAAUCACGCUCAUUACUUUCUAUGCUUUUACUUGACUUACUUUGUUGGAGAACACGCCAAAAAAGAAAACUAUAGCAAAUGACUUACUUUGUAAGACAACCAAAAGAGGAACACACUACAAUAUUUGUACAAGCCCAUGCACACAAAAUGCUUGUCAAAAUCACCAAAGGGUUCAUUUUGCCCACAUGAUAUGCAAAUUCUACCAAAAUUUGAUGAAAGAAUGUGGAUGUUUGUACCUCACUCUGAUACUAUCCAAUAUUCAUUGGAUUCAAAGAGGGAAUAUAAGAAAAUAGAAUAUAACGAAUUUUUGCAGCUAACCUUGUAUAAAGUGUCCAGGAUCAGAAUAUCCAAUUGCCCUGCACUAGCUUUUGAAAUUACUGCAAAAACCAAGAUGUCACUAUAUCAAAAACAUGAUAGCAAAGAUCCCCAGAAAACCAUCCUCUUUUUACACAUUCCACAGCCAUUGAAAAUCUCUCCACAUGACAAUGACUCAUCUCCAUUCGUGCACAGAAUUAAGGGACUCUUAACAUGUCUACACAGUGCAAAUAUAUGCUUCCAAAUAAAUUAUUACAAGAAAAGUGAACAAAACAAAACUAACCAUGCUCUGUGCUAGAUGGAAUGCGUGAAACAUCAGAUAUAUAAGCUACUCUACAUUUUUCACCAAAGAGAAACCCCAGAGAAAUAUAAUCUUCUCCAUGCAUCACCUACAUUACAGAACAAAGAUGACACAAGAAUAAGAAACAGGGCAGAGAGAUAGAGUAUUAGUAGUUGACACAUAUUUUAAGAAAGGUUCAGAUCUGGUAACUGGCAAAGGAACAAACUGUAUGCCUGAUGCAACAAAUGGUCUUUGAUGGUCUUCCUCAAUUAUAUGCCAGUCCAGCUGUGCUACUCGUCUUAUUUCUGGCCUGGCUUCAAUUGUUUCUGUACCAAGUAAGGGAAUUUCGCUGCAAUGCUGCUCAAAGACAAAACAUGCAGUGACAUCAAGUAAUGUUAAAAGUCGGAUUGAAGUAAAGUGCAAAGUACAAUAAUAAAUCAAACGAAUGGCACACCACAUAAAUAAGUUCUAUGAUCAGGAAGUCGCAUAAGACCUUGGUUUGUUGUAGAGUAUUCACUUCUACAGUUACAUUGCAUCAGUAUGACUCGACUGGCGGGAAAAUAGUUAUCUUUCCUCUUUUAAACCUUCAAAUCUUAUCAACUAUAGAAGUCUUAAUAGAUGUUCAAGUUACUUUCAUCAAAUAGACUUUCAAUACUAGUGUUGAUUAUCUCAAAACUCACAACGAAGGAACGAUGAGCAGACAAAAGCAUCAAAUGAUCAUUAAUUAUCAAACAUGCCCUGCCAAUGGGGAGAAAGUAGUAAAGGUGAUGGUGAUAAAAGCAAACCCAGAAAGAAGAGAUUAGUUACCUAUCCAUUGCAUGGUGACUUAGGUAGAUGGGAGUGGGAUCAAUGUCAUUUAUCGGGCUAUAUGGUUGCACAGCACGUAUAUCAUCAAGACCAAGAACUGCAUCAGCAUGUUCAUGAGUCAAAAUGAUCUGCAGUUGAUAAAAACAAAUCAGUCCAAGUGGCCUCAAAAUGAGAAAUAGUAUAUAUAUAGGAAAUCAUGAUCAUAAGCCUUACAGAAUCAAUACGAGGAAUGUUGUGGAGAGUAAACCACCUAAGGACUUGCUCCCUGAAUGUCUUGCCCACAUCUAUCAAUAUAUAGCUGUGUGCAUUAUCACUCUCACUGUAGUGAUCUAUAACGAGUGAAGUAUUGCAUCUGUAACCCACACCCAACAAAACACCAAACUCACCUUUAUUUUUAAUUAAUUAACUAAAUCCAUCAAUAUUACAUAAUUCCACAACGGACCAAUAUGAUAAAUCGAACCUGUAGUUAGGGUUUUGGUUGGGAGGGACGGAGAGGGCCUGAGAGCAAACGGAGCAAGGAGGAUCUGAGGGCUGGAGGAGGCACCUGACGUUGGGGACGGCGUCGAGCAUCCUGUCCCAAGGAAGAUUAGAGCCGAUCCGUUGUUACAAAUGUUGUUGACUCCAUUUUUCAGAUUUGAUUAGGGGUGCGUGGUGUGGGAACAAUGGAUUUGAGAAAAGAAUGGCUAACGAAGGAGAAUGGAAUAAAGCAAGGAAAUAAGAAAAGCACGCUCCUUUUCAAUAGGGAUACAUGAAAAACCGAAUGGAUGAUGCACAAGAAUGGAAGGUCUAGCUUGUAUACGACUUCCAUUAUCCUCUUAAUCACGAUGAAUUGACCAUAGUAUUUAGUUGCUAGCGUGUGGUAGUGUUGAAGCAUUGAUCUCUAUUUAUAAGGCUAUAACUCUAGGUAAACCGAAUUGCCGUCCUUCAGGACCCUAUCGCUUCUCUUUUUGUUAGCCAAUUGCCUCAUUUUGUUCUGGGAUUUGACUAAGUUUUGCCGGACCGUCUGCAGCAUUUGCUCCCUUGUAUUGAGGUAAUGAUCGACUACCUCAAUUGGUGAAUCUUUGGGGAAAUAUGGGAUGUGAUUGGGAGGUGAAAAACAUAAAGUAUUUCAUAGGGAAUAGAUUUGGUAGCAGUGUGAAAGUUUGUAUUGUACCACCAUCCACUCAAAGCCAGUCAAUUACACCAUUGUGAAGGAGCGUCCCUUGUUAUGCACUUGAGAUAGCGUUUUAUGCACUUGUUGACGACCUCAGUUUGCUCGUCAGAUUGAGGAUGAUAGGCAAUGAAGUAAUGAAGGUUGACCCCUUGUAAGACGAAUAGUUCCUUCCAGAACUGACUAAGGAAAAUGGCAUCUUGAUCGCUCACUAUGGUUGUUGGCAUUUCAUGUAAUUUGUAGACCAAAUCCAUAAAGGUCUUGACAAAUGUGUUAGUCAUAUAUGGGUGUGAAAGCGUAAUAAAAUAUGCAUACUUGCUAAACCUAUUCACCACUACGGAGAUAACUUCCUUGCCCUAAGGAGGCUAGUUAUGAAAUCCAUGCUGAUGUCUGUGAACGAUGUUGUUGGAACUGGUAGCAGCUGUAUAGCCUUGGACCGGCCACAUUUUUUGUUUUGCAUCGUUGAUAGGUUAGGCAUUCUCUUAUAAUAUAUUUUAUACUCUGUUUUUGUUGUUUUUUCUAGUAAAACAUGUUGGCAACCCUUGCUGUUGUGACUAUAAAACUUGAGUGUCCUCCCAAGGAUGUAUCAUGAUAAACAGUUAUGAGUUGAUGCUAGAGUGCUAGAUUGUUUCCCACCACAAGUUUUCCUUUCCUGAAUAAGUAACUAUCACUCCACUUAUAGGGCUAAGCGUUUUCGGUCCGGUCCGGUUUUGGAUCAAAAUAAACAACCAAACCGAUUUAUUUAUUUUUAGUUUUGGAAUCGAAUCGAACCGAAAACCGGUUCAAACCGAUUAGUUUCAGUUCGUUUUGGUUUUUUUCCCUUCCAAACCGGUUCAAACCGAAAUUAUUCCGAUUGAGUUUUUUCUAGGCUUUUUAUUGACCACCUUUUUCAGCACUUUUGUUUCUGUACUUGCUUCCAAAUCGGUAGCAUGUAAUUUACAAUCUAAAUCCCAAAAGACAAUAACGAGGACAGUCUGGAAAUGGAAAAAAACAUUGAGCCAGAACCGGAAGUGUUGCAGAAUUAAAUCUUAGACCAAAGAAAAGCUAAUCCUCCCUAUAAAAUGGCAGACAGUGACAAACAUUUGUGUCAUAAUUGAGCAUCACAAGUAUUACAGGUUGUUCAACUGAAUGUAACAGGGUGCAUAUAACUGUAUCUUGUACCUCUUUAUCAAGAACACAACUUAGCUCAAACAGAGCUCGAAUAUCAUAUUCCUUCAAUUGGAUCUAUGAUAUCCCAGAUUUGAGAGAUGAGAGGCAGAGAGCAUGGAGGAGAAUACAGAUUUGAGAGAUGAGAGAUAAGAGGCAGAGAGCAUGGAGAAGAAGGUAGAUUUGAGAGAUGAGAGGGCAGGGAGAGGGGGCGGCUGAGAAAGUAAGAAUGGUGAGAUAAGUUUAGGGUUAGAAAAUAUGCUAUUUAUACUCUUUUUUUCAAGAGAUAGCUUAGUUGAACCAGGCCGAGUCGGUUCAAUUCAAUUGGUUUCAGACUUUGAAAACUGAACCAAACCGAAAAUAUUUUGUGAUUUUCUAAUCGGUUUUUUUUCACGGUUCGGUUUUUUCGGUUAUUUUUUCCUGGUUUUCUCGGUUUAAUCAGUUUUUCAGUUUUUUUGCUCACCCCUAACUUAUAGUGAAGAUAUGUAGCUAGGUCUUUUAUUAAAUCUUGGAUAAUGGAUUAAUCUUGCUAUCCUCCUCUUAGGACUUCUUAAUAUCUACUAUUAAGGGGGUCGAUACUAUGAACAAUGCUAAAGCAUUAAGUUCACUGUUGGUUAUCCUAAAAAGAGCGUCAACUACAACAUUCUCUAUUCCCUUAUGAAAUUCAAUUUUGGAAUCAAAUCCCAAAAGUUUAUUUAGCCAUAAAUAUUGAGAGGGAGAAGAUAUUUCCUGAUUCAGUAGGUAUUUAAAGCUAACGUGGUCGGUUUCGAUCUUGAAGGACCUUCCCCAUAGAUAUUGUUUCCACUUGGUUACUGCCAGUAAGGUUGCCAACAUUUCCCUCUAAUGGAUGGAUAACACAUCAUGCCUUGCCCCUAAAACCUUGCUGAUGUAUGUUAUAAGAUGUCCCUCCUCCAUUGACACUGCCCCACUGCCUGAAUCUGAUGCAUUAGUCUCCACAAUAAAAUAUUUGCUUAUGUCCAAUAAGGAUAAGACUGGAGGAUUAAACAUCGCCUUCUUAAGAGCUUUAAAAGUUAAAGUUGCCUCCUAGUCCCAACCAACGACAUCCUUUUUAAGAAGUUUAGUUAGGGGACGAUAAAUAAUGCUAUGGCCUUUUGUAAAUUUUAUGUAGUAACACGUGAGCCUUAAGAAUCCUUGUAAUUGCUUGAUGUUUUGAGGUAGUGGCCAAUUUUUGAUAGCUUGUAGCUUCUCUGGAUAUGUAGCCACGUCCGUCUUAAAAAUAGCAUGGCCUAGGUACUUCACCUGUCAUCACCAAAAACACAUUUGUUCUCCUUUGCCUCCAACUUGUGUGUCCUGAGCAAUGCAAAAAUGACCUGUAGAUUUUCCAGGUGCUCUUUGUAGGACUGGCUGUAAAUUAAAAUAUCGUCAAAAACAUAAAAACAAACCUCCUCAAAUGAGCUCUAAAGACCUCAUUCAUUAGGCUUUGAAAAGUAAUGGGCGCAUUGAUGAGACCAAAGAGCAUUACUAAGAACUCCCAGUGACUAUUAUGUGUUCUGAAUGUUAUUUUGUGGACGUCUCUAGGGCUCUUCUGAAUUUGGUGGUACCUGAAGUGUAAAUCAAUUUUCAAGAACACUGAUACCCCUGUUAAUUCUUCUAGUAACUCUUCAAUCAAAGGUAUUGGGAAUUUGUUUUUUUAUCAUCAACUUAUUAAGGGCCCUAUAGUCAACACACAACCAUCAAGAGAGGUCUUUUUUCUUCACAAACAUGACAAGUGAUGCAAAAGGAUUAUGGCUUGGUUGGAUUGUGCCAGCACCUACCAUUUCGAAGAUCAAUCUAUCCACCGUAUCCUUCUAUAAACUAGAGUACUUGUAUGGCCGAAGGUUAAUAGGUUGAGCUCCCUCCUUCAAGUGAAUAAUGUGAUCUUCAGGUCUAUUAGGGGGUAACUAUGCCAAAGGGGGUGAACACAUUCUGGUAGAGGUGAAGUAGAUUAUGCAGGGCUUCCUUUUUUUUUUUUAUCAUUAAGAUUUUUCUCCAUUGUUAAUGUAUUUGCCACACUCGUUUCUUGAACUAGCAUCAAGCUGUAGAGAUCGAUACCUGCUAUAUUACUUCUGCUGCCCAGCAGAUUCAUCUAUCCAAACUGAACCGAUUGUAAUUUCACAGGUUCUUCUCCUCUUAGUGUUACUCUUUGUCCUUGUCAAUCGAAGCUCAUCCACAUAUCUUAUAAUUGCAUACAAUGUCUCCAAGGGUAGCAAACCAUUGAACAUCUAAGACUAUAUCGCAGGCAUCAAGUUCCAUCACAAAUACAUCGGCCACAAAAUGUAUUCCCUGCAUCUUCCACCUGAAAUAUUUAUAGAUUGAAGAGCACAAUAUUUUCCCCCAUUGGCACCCUUAACCAUUACUAAAUUGAUAGGAGUUAGUUUAUAUUGUAACUUGUUAGCAACCCAAGUAUUCAUGAAGUUGUGUAUGCUACCGGACUCUACUAGUAUAAAGAUAGGUAGCCUAACCACCCGUCUUGUCACUGUAAGGGUGUAACACCAUAAAACCCUUUCCAACACAUUCAUAAAAAUAUGUGGAUCAGUGACUUCUAAACCAUGCUUCUCCCUAACAAGCUCUAACUCACUGUUUUCGCCCCCCUCCUCCUCAUCUCUCAUUAAACAUAUGGAAUAAAACUUUUUUAUUCUGCAUUUGUGUCCCCAAGUGAAUUUGUCAUCACAUCAAAAACACAAACCCUUAGCUCUUCGUUCUUCCAUUUCUAUGUUUCUGAGAAUCUGGAUAGGUCUUUUAGUAAGCUGAGUAGCAAACUGAGUUUGAAGGGUAGGUAAUAAUCCAGGUAGUUUAGAGGGUUAUGAAGGUAGAUCAUGAAAGUUAUUAGAUUUGUAAAAAGGUUAUUAUUGGGGUGUCUGGUUAUUGCUAAAAGGUAUGGUCGAGUGUUCGAUUGGUUGUUUUUAGAAUUUCUUGUAGAGGUUAGUAUUUUCUUGUAAACAGAAUAGGUUAUAAGCUUGCUUAAAGGAUUUUGGUUCAAACAUAUUAACCAAAUUUUUUAUUUCUUUCUCAAGCCCACCUAAGAAAAAGAUCAAAGCGUACCUUUCAUCAAUUUCUGUUCGAUUCCAUAGAAUGUCGAAGUCUUUGAUGUAAGUCUCCAAGUUGCCUUCUUGUUUCAAAUCCUUUAACUCUUCUAAGGGGUCUUUAUGGCCACCAAACCUUCCACACAUGGCUUCCACAUAUUCCUUCCAUGACACUAACCUACCAUUAUUGCUACGUAUGAAAUUUUGAUGCUAAUACAGUACCAUACCAUCUAGAUUAUAGGAUGUUAACUUGAGUUUUUCAACUUCUUGGACCUCUUCUAUCUUAAAGUAUUGGAUGCAUUUAUACAACGAUUUGUGGAUGUCUUCCCUUUUAAAGGAUGGAAAAUCAUGCCUAGGCUUAUAGAACUUAUAAUGUCCACCAUACUGCCAAUCGCUCUUUAUGGCCAGUCCUUCCUGACUGUAGUGUGGUUGAUCACGGUUACAACUGGUCUUCCCUACAAGUAACUACAGUUACUGCAAUAAUGUUUUCUGCUAAAGGAAAAUGCAAAGAUGAGCUCUUUCAGCCUCAAGAGUCUAAUGUCGCUGACCAACUGUUGCUGUCAAUAUUGUUCCAGCAUUCUUGCCAUUUUAUCAUUCCACUAAGCUUAUUCUCUAUUAAAUGUUUCUAUUACCCCUUCUAAUUUCUUUUUUGAUUAAAUGUAAGUAUAUAUAAAGAUAAAAAAGAAACAGAGUCGAGAAGCCAGUAAGUCACAUAUACAAACAUGUAAAACCUAAGGGAACAUCUUCCUAAAAAAGCAAAUUAAGCUAACAUAUACAAAUUACAAUGCAAAGCUGAAGAGGGAAAUAAGAUCCCUUAACAUAAAAGUAUAAAUAAAAUUGGUUAACUAAGGAACCUAUAACUAGAACAAGUGCUGAAGUUAACCAACAAAAAAGCCAUGCAACGCCAAAAAAUCCAACCACAACAACAUAUUAAGAAGAAAAGAGAGGCUAGGCCAUUCCGAUGUAUACACUGGUCAGAGUCGACAUUCAGCGAUGUAUACACAUCUAAGAUUUUAUGCUCCCCUAGAAGCAUGGUGUCCAACUGCAAGAAAAAAAAAAAGAUGUCGAUGAUAUUCCUUAGCUUACCCACAAAACACACAGGAGAUGUCUAAUGGAAGGAAACAUAAUUUGUCCUUCCUUUCAAGCUUCUCUACAACCGCAAGCCAUAUAAUGAAAUUGUAUCACGGUAGAGACCAAGUUUCCCAUACUACACGGUCCUAGUUCACCUAAGUAGUAGGACUCUGAAGAUAUUCAUAAGCUUUAGCUGAGAAGCGAUGAACACCACUAGACCAACUCCUGAACAGAGUUACAAUUUCAUGUAUACUCUCACAACCAGAGUUUUAAAACCUGACCGACCCAGGCCUGGGACCAGUCCGAGUGGAAGUAAAAACCCGUUUGGAAGUUGGCCCCGUGAAACCUGGUCGACUCAGCGGGUCGACCCGGUCAAACCCGUCUGAGACCCGGUCUUUUUUUUUUAUAUCUACUAAUAGAUGUUAAACGACGAAGAACAAUGAAGUAGAAUUGGCAUAUUGAUCAUAGAGCAAACCUAAUUAACAAAAAGACCAAUUUCAAUCGCCGAGGAGUCAAGGAGAGCAGAAGACGUUAGAUCAUUGUUGUUUCAUUGCGAAAAAGGUUAGACUCUUGUUUCUGUUCAUGAAUCUCCUUCUUUCACUCUCUCUUUUCUUUAUUCUUGCUCGUGUUUUGAACUUGCAGUUCUAGCAUCGAUUCGUUGUUCCUUGAUUUAGUUGCAUUGAUUCAUUCGCAGCCCAGUCAUCUCAACCUCAGGUAUGUUUCUCUAUUCUUUUCUUUUCUACAACUUAAUAAAUGCUCUGCUAUUAGGAAGUGUAGAAAAUGGAUAAGCAAACUAGUUUUGUUCGAUGCACUAGUUUUAAUCGAUGUAUUUGCUUCUAGAACUAGCUAGGAUAAUCUAAAAUGUUGAUUGAGAAUAAAAAGCUAUUGAUAUUUCGGCUAGUAAUGUGAGUCAAUCCUCCAACUCUAAGGACCCAGUUUUGUUCUAAGAACUAUUAUAGCCAAAGAUUGAAACUGUUCUACGAAUUAUUAACAGCUAAAAAUAUUUCAGCUAGUAAUGUUUGUUUGGUUUUAUAGUUGACUGUAAAUUUAAGAAAACAUAAGUUGUAGAGAUUUUGAUAUACUAACCUGCAAGUUAUAGAGUGUGUUUGUUCGUUUGUUACGCUUUUGCUUCUGUAAAUUUUUGUUGAAGUUACUGUCAACUAUGGCAUCGAUUCUUCCCUAGAUUUUUAUUUAAACUGGUUGUGCUUAGUUAACUGUGUUUCAUGGAGCUACUAUAACAUCGAUUAGUUAGUUGAUGUUAUUAGCUUUUGCUAGAGUUACUGUGGCAUCAAACUUUCCUUUCCCAAUGCUUUCUCAUGUUGACUGCUGGUUGAUUUUCUACAUCUAGUUGCUUGUUAUUAGUUCAGGAUAAGAAAAUAGCUUUGACAAAAUUUACUGGGAAGCAUAAUCUUUUUUUAUUAUGUGUGAUUGAUGGGGCUGACAUUGUUAAUCUAAUUAAUGGAUUGCAAAGUGAUUUGGCUUGAAAUUAUAUUCCCUCUUAUAAAUUAUAUUAAGUCCUUAAAAUGUCUUCACAUGAUGGUAGUACUUCAAGUAGUGAUCCUUCAAUGCCCCAAUCAUCUCAACCUUUAAUUUCCAUGUCAAAUGGUAGUAGAGGAAGAACAGAUUUGGCAUGGGGUCAUUGUAAAGAAGCUCCUGAACUUAGUGUUGGGUUUAAAAAAAUAAAUUAGUUUGUUUAUAUUGUGCUAAAGUAUUUGCGGAUGGUGGCAUUAAUCAACUUAAGCAAUAUUUAGCUAGAGCUAAAGGAGAAGUUGAACAAUUUCGUAAAUAUCCUCCUGAUGUUCGACAUCAUAUGCUUUUGAAUCUUAAAGGAAAUGCUGGGGAAAAAAAAAGAGUUAGAGAAAUGCAAGCAGAUUUCAAUCCAUUAAAUGCACGACAAAAAGAUCAUGAAGAGAUGAUGAUUAGGCAAUUAGAAGAUGAUGAUGGUGAUGAUGAUAAGGAUGAUGAGGAUAUCAGUACUAAAAAGCAUAUGUUACCACUGAAGGUUGUAAAAGAGAAAAAGAUUCAAAGCACCAGCACUGUAAAAUAAUCGACUACAAGUUAUGGAAAAUAGAAGAAAUCUGCAACAUUAGGGACAUAUUUCAUGCCGAGAACAACUCUGGUGCUCAAAAGUCUCUUCAGAAUUGUUGGCAAAGAAAGGAAGCAGUUGAACAGUGUGAUCUUGCUUUAGCGAAGUGGAUGAUUGAUGCAUGUGUGCCAUUUAAUGUUGUUAACUCUGUGUAUUAUCAGCAUGCCAAAUGUUGUAACAGCCAUGGGUCAUGGUUAUAAAGGACCAAACUUGCAUGCUAUUCUGGUUAUUACUUGGCAAAAGCGGUUGAUGAAGUCAAGAUUUAUGUUGAGACUUAUCGAGAGAUUUGGAAGAAGACUGUUGCACAUUAAUGGCUGAUGGAUGGACAGAUCAGAAGAGGAGGACUUUAAUUAACUUCUUAGUAUAUUGUCCUAAAGGAACAGUUUUUUUGAAAACUGUGGAUGUAUCAGAUGUCUCAAAGACUACUAGAUUGUUGUAUCAGUUGUUUAGAGAGGUUGUUUUGUAUGUUGGGGUACAAAACAUUGUGCAUAUGGUGACUAAUAAUGCUGCAAAUUAUAUUGUUGCUGGCAAGUUAUUGAUGGAAGAAUUUCCUUCAAUAUUUUGGUCUAUUUGUGCUGCUCAUUGCAUCAACAUCAUACUCCAAGAUAUUGGUAAAUUGCAGUUAGUUUGUUGUGUUGUUGAGCAUGCUUCUGGUAUCACAAAGUACAUUUAUAAUCAUUAUUAUCCAUUGUAUUUGAUGAGGAAGUUCACUAGAGGAAAAGAAAUACUUUGUCCAGCUCCUACUCGUUUUGCUACUAAUUUCAUUGCAUUGCAAAGCAUUUUAGCUUAUAAAGAUGAGUUGAGAGCUAUGGUGAUAUCUAGGGAAUGGGUCUCAUCUGCUUAUGCUAAAGAUAAAAGGAAAAAAGUUUGUUGAGAGUGUGCUAGACUCUUUGUUUUGGGAAGAAUGUGCAAUAAUUGUGCGAAUGAGUGAGCCUUUAAUUUGAGUUCUACAAAUGGUUGAUGGUGAUGAUAGACCUUCGAUGGGAUAUUUAUGAUGCUAUUCAUCAUGCAAAAGAAGAAAUGAUGAGGAGAUUCAAAAGAGAAAGGCUAGAGUGAAACCUUUCAUAGACAUUAUCAAUAAUUGGUGGGAUGGACAACUUUAUAGAAAUCUUUAUGCAAUGGCAUUUUGGUUGAAUCCUCGAUUUCAAUAUGAUGCAAAUAUAAUGGAUAAACAUAUGAGCACUAUUUCUGAUGUUCUUAAGAAGUAUGCAUAUGGAAAUCUACCAUUGCAAAGUAAGAUUACAAGUGAGAUGAAGUUGUUUAGGAAUGCUGAACAUGACUUUGGUCGAGAAUCCGCAAUAAAUAAUCGCACCCUUAUGCCUCCAGGUAUAUAAUUUUUACAUUUAAAAAUAUUAUUUGCAUAGUCUUACACUCUUACUUAUUAUUGUUUUGUAUAGAUGAAUGGUGGAUGACAUAUGAACCAGCGCUCCAAAUCUACAACAUUGGCUAUACGAGUGUUAAGUCAAACUUGUAGUUCUUCGGGAUGUGAGAGAAAUUGGAGUAUGUUUGAACAUGUUCAUUCCAAGAAGAGAAAUAGAUUGGAGCACCAAAGGCUUAAUGACCUUGUUUACGUCCACUGCAAUCUAAGAUUGAAACAAAAGUAUUUUUCUUUUCUCUAAUUCCUUAAAUAUUAUUUUAUCUUGUUUAGUAGCAUUAUUAAUACUUAUAUUGUGUUUACCUUCACUUUUAAUAUAUAGGAAUUAUUGGAAAGAUGAAAUUAUGAUCCAAUUAAUGUUGAGACAAUUUGACAUUGAAAAUUGGGUAGUAGAAGAUGACCCAUCAAUCUUGACAACUGAAGAAGCAGAGAGUUUUCACCAAGCUCUAUCAACUAUGACCAUACAAGAUACUUUAGAUGAUGGUAAUUAAUGAUUGAUUAUUUAGUGAUAAAUAUUAUUUAAAAUAAAGUUUUGUUUAACAUAUAAUAUUUAUUUAUUAAUUGUGUUUGAAAUGUAGAUGUCAUAAAUGUUAAUGAUAUUGAAGAUGAUUGUGACGAUGAAGUUUCAAAGGAGCAUGUGAUGAUUUAUUAGGUGUUGACGAAUUGGCUCAUUCCAUCGACAUUGGAUCCAAAUUUUGCUCCUAUGACACAGAAGAACUUAAUGUGUUCAUUCAACAAAAUGAAUGUGUUGUUGAUUUAGAAUUUAUGUUGUUGGAUGUUUUGUUUUAAAUAUUUUAGAAUCAGAAUUUAUAUGGUUGGAUGUUUUGUUUUAAAUAUUUUAGAAUUUAUAUUUGGUUUGUGUUUUGGAUAUUGAAUUAAAUUUAUGUUGUUGGUUUAUAAUUUAAAUUUGUUUAUGUAAGUGUUGCAUUGUAACUAGUUAUGUUUUUUUUUAUAGGUUUUUUUUUUAGGUUGACCCGUCAACCCAUCUGACCCGUGACCCAAUCACUUGACCGGUCGGGUUUCAAAAUAUGCCCACAGCUCUUUACUUGCUGAUCUUUAAGAUAGAUAAUGAAUUUCCAUAAUAGGUAGAAGGACAUAUGGGCACACACGAUCCAUAUAGAGUAGGUAAGCAAAUAGUAAUGGUGAACCCAUUGAAUCCAAAUGGAAUCUGUCUUUAAAUGAAUAUUCCAGAGAUGUCUAGCAAGGAAGCUCUUGUUUCUGGCCUUUACAUCAAAUAUGCAAGCCCCCUUCUUUCUUUGGGUGGCAAACCUUGUUCCAAGCAACCAAAGCAAAUGUGCUUUUAGUAGUGUUACUUGUCCAUAAGAAAUUCCUACAGGUAGAGAUGAUUUGGUUGAAUGACAGUAGCUGGAAGGGGGAAGACAUUUAUCCAGAAUUGAACCAUACCAUAGAUUACAAUCUUCAAAAGCUCCAAUCGACCAGCAUAUAAGAGAUUUUUUACACCCAUCCACUUCUGAACUGCCGAGUCCAAUUUGAAUAAAAGAGAGAAAACUGACUUGCCAAUAACAUGUGAGGUCUAAGGGGACACCUAGAUAUAUGAAGGGGAAAGAUCCUUCUUUAAAUCCAGAAUCAUGAAGAAGAGCCAGCUUCAAGGUUGGAUUAAGUCCUCUGAAAUAUAUUAAAGAUUUUGCUGCAUUAAUAACCAAACCCGAGGUUUGCCCGAAAAUAUCUAGCUGACGAAGCAGAAUAGCAAUAGAAGAUUUAUCGGCUCGAGAUAGCAAGAGAACAUCAUCUGCAAAGGCGAGAUGACAGAUACCAAGAGCUUUACACUUUGGGUGAAAGUGAGAUACAAGAUUCCUGGUAGCUAGUUGAAGCAUCCAAGAAAAAUACUCCAUGCAGAUAAUGAAAAGAUAGGGAGAUAGAGGAUCACCUUGUCUCCCUCCGCACUUCCCAGGGAAAAAGCCAUAGAGAUUACCAUUUACAGCAAUUGAAAAGGAUGUGGUUUCCACACACUGUAUAAGCUAGAGCAUAAAACGAUUUGGAAAGUCUAGCAUCCGGAAAUCAAAGUCUUUCCAACCAUAUAUGUUAGCCCAAUAACUCGUCUAGAAAGAGAGAAUAACAUGUUUGAAAUCAAGUCUAAAACCUACUAGCAAACUAGCACUUAUCCCAUCAAUAUUUCUAUGUUGGGAUGAUAACAUGGUAGCUCAUUAAUAACAUGCAAAUGGUGUUAAAAAAAAGAGAGGGGGGGAUCGAGUUCAUAACAUAGAAGAAAGGGAAUAAGAGAUUUUAUUAUUUUUAUAAUUAUUGUUAUAAUCAUUUUCCUUUUCUAAAUUUGCAACAAGCUUAGUUUUUAAUUUUAAUAGGUUAGUACUUUUAGAUUUUAAAUUAUUAUAAGGAUUUAUGCUUAAAAUUAUUCUAUAUCUGAUUGUGAUACAUGCAUAUAUUAUAUUUUUUAUGAUUAUACUUGAUGAUUAAUGACUAAAAUUCUAUAUAAUGUACAACAUAUGUUUUUUUUUAAUCUACUGCUAGUGAUUAGUUUAUGAGAUAGUCUUUACUAAUUAAUUUAAGUAGUAAAAGUACCUAAUUUUCAAAGCUGUCUUUUAAUUUGUUACUUGUAAAACUUAAGUCAUAAUUAAAUUAACUCCCCAUGCAUUUUUAAUUAUUGUGAAUCAAUUGCACCAAUCUUGAUUUUAAUGUUAUCAUGUAAUUAAAUAAUGCAUACUUAAAAUACUUAAUGAAGGUUAUUAUGUGAUAAUGUUCAUUGAUGCACAUAUGUUAGAUUAACUAAAAAGUAAGGAUAGGUAGAAAAAUUGUUGUUUUCAUAGAUAAUUUAUUUAUGAUCACAAAUUAGAUUAAAAAACAUAUAUAUUCUUUUAGUUUUUCUCUUAUUAUUUAGAAUUUAUUUCUUUUGUUUCAUUAGAUUUCUAUGUUUUUUUAGUUAGUUUACAUAGUAGACAAAACUCUAAUUUUAAUUACUUUCAUAAUUAAUGUAUGUUUGAAUUUAAAAUCUAUAUUUUUACUUGAUAUGCUCUAAUUUAAAUUUAAAUAACGUGUUUUGAUUAAGUAAUUAAGUUCUAUUAUUUGUAUCUUUACGAGAAGAUACAUUUACUUUGUAUACUAUAAAUUAUUAAUUUUAAGGAUUUAAAUUUAUAUAACUUUCAAUACCUGUCUGUUUCUUUAGUGAUAGCCCAAUGGUUUUGAUUUAAUGGAACAAUGGAAUGUUAGAUGUUUAAAUAGAGGCACAUAAAUUAGGCUUUUUACCAUGUGCAACAAUUUGAUAGAAAAGUGAUAAGAUACAUAUGCAAUUUUCUAUUAAUCCAAAAACAAUAAAAUUAGGUUUUUUUAUAGACCUCCAUAUAGAUUAGUUUGUUUAUAUGUUAGGCUACUCUCAUUCCUAUAAAUAUUAAUAUGGAAUUAGUUUAUUUGUAGACCCGUAAUUAGCAAAUGAGACAAAUGAUCCAAUUUUUGUACUAGAAUUCACAAUUUAUGUCUUAGUAAAGCCUAGAUGAUGAAUGAUGGAGAUUGUCAAAUUGCUUCAUUGCUAGCAUACAUGGUAACUUAGGCCUUUUGUUUUUCUUAGAAUGGUCUCCUCCAGUCAUUUGCUAUGAUUUUUUCAAGUUAUUAGUAAUUUUAGAUGUUGUCUUUUAAGAUCUAUUUUAUUAUUCUUGAAUUUUAUUCCAUGCAAUUAAAUUGAAAAAUUUCCUCAAAAUAAUGAUAAACAAAAUAAAUAAAAAAUACUAUUAAGAUGAGAAAAAAAUUUGUCUUUAUCAAAAUAGAAAGAAUAUUACGGAAAACAAGUUUAAUUUGAUUGAACACAAUUUCCAAUCAUUUUUCUCCAAACAUAAAUAAUAUAACAUGAACACAUUUCUAUAGCAUUCUAAGUAAAAACAAAAUAUUCUAAAACUUUAAAAAAUGAACAAGUUUCGUGAUUUGUGAUUUUUCAUUGGAAAAAAAAUGAAAAACUAAAGAAAAUUAAAAAAGAAAAAAGAAAAUUAUUGUUUUUUGUUAUUGAAUAACCUCUAAAGUAAAUUUUGGUUAUUACAGAAAAACAAAAUAGACAAAAACAAUGAGAACAAACAAGGAGACGAAGAUGUAAUUGUGUUUGGUAAAGGUGUAAAAGACAAAGUGACUAUCUAUGUGUCAUGUUUGGUUGAUGGUGGACAAGAUAAGAUAAAAUAUAAAUAAAUCUAUUUUAUUCUUAAUAUGUAUUAUCAUAAAACUUACAUAUAUUUUUUAAAAUAGAUAUUAUUAUUAUUAUUGUUAUUAUUAUUAUUUAUUUUAUGUUGAUUUUUCAAAUAAAAAAUAGUAUUAUAACCUUCGUUAAAAAAUCUUUACUGACCUGGGACUUGAACCGAUUCUUAUUUUAAAAAAGCUAGAGAAAGGAUCGACCUGACCUAACUUAGUCAAUAGCCUAGGUUGAUUUGGAGUAAAACCCAACUAAAAAAUCUAUUGAAUUUUUUUUUUUUGUCAUAAUGAAAUCAUUUUUAUCCAUUUUUUUAAGAAGAGAUUAUUAGAUGUUAAUUUCAGUUGAUCCUCUCAACCUAUAACUUGGGCCUUACCCAAGUUAACUUCCUAGUAAGGUUAUAAAACAAUAGUAAUAAUAACUUAUAUCCUUUGAUACGAAUGAAUGAGCACCACCAAAUGAUCCAUUAGAUAUAUACUAAUUGGACCUAUUACACAGUCUGAAACUAAAGGCAUCCAAGAGGAAUUAAUUAGGCUGCUUCUAGAUAUUUAGAUUAACAACUUGUAAAUUUAUCAAACUAGAUUUUUGUGUACUAUUUAGGAUGUAUCUAAAGCUAUAAGAGGAAUUUUGCUAAGAUUCUAGUUAAGCAAAAAAACAUCUCAAGCCUUUUAUUUAUAUAUAUUAGAUCUAGUAAUUCAUCAAAAAGAGAGAACAAUAUGUUUACCAAAAAAGCAAUAAGUUGUUAUACUUGUUUGCUAUUUGUUUCAUUAUGAUUUGUUAACUUUUUAUUUAGCAAUGAUUUCUUUUCUAUAAAGAAAGCAUAGUUUGCAGUAAAUGAGAUUAUUUUGGCAAGGUUUUUCAUAUCAUCAACUUGUGUUUCUUUUUGUUUAUGGAUUUUCUCAUUAGCAAGGUUUUCUUAUCAUUCAAAGACAUUGGAGAAGGUUUUGAGCUUAUUUUUCCUAACAUAAUGUUAUAUCAGGAUGAAAGUUUACCAGAAAUUCCUAAAGGUCUUGUUUUAUAUAUGAUUACAAUUUUAGGUCAAUCGAACAUGAAGAAAGCCUUGCGAUAAGAUCUAAAAGCUAGUGUGAGAUAAUUGUAUUAGUUUCCUAGUUGAUUUAGAUUUUUAUUUUAUUUUAUUUAUAACUCUUAUUAUUUUUGCAGUAUUUUUUAGGAUCAUUUUUUUACCUUUUAUAAAUAUGUUUAUUUAGCUUGUAUUUAGGUUUUUUAAAAAUAUUAAUAAAAGAUGGAUUGAUUAUUUAGAAAUAAAACUUUUGUAUAAGAAUUCGCUCUUACUCUUAGUUCCUUAUGGAACUAUUUUAAAUUAUCAAAGAAUUAACAAAGUUUCAUGACAUAUUAUAAAUUUCUUGUUUGUGUAUUAAUUAUAAGUGUUGGGUGGUAUAAACCCUUGCGUAAAAGUAUGAUCACAGGUAGUAAGGUCCUUAUGAGUAAUGGAAGUUCAGGAUGAAAUGAAAUGGAUAAAUGAUGAAGAUAAUAUUAAUUUUGAUAUUUAAUAGGGAUGUUGACUUCCAUAAAUAAAUUUAAAGGUAUUGUUGAAAUUAAAAUGAGGAUUACAAAUUUUAGGUUAAAAUUUGUAACAUUAGUGAAACCAGUAAUGUGUUUCGAUGGAUAAAAUAAUAACAAGAUUAAGAAAACAAUCUCAAGGAAAUAGUAUGGUCAUAAAGAAUAAACUAUAAGAAAGUAAUACAUAAAGGAAAAUUAAUGUUGUGAGCACCGGUCAAAAAUUAGUAACAUCAAUGCGAAUUGGUAAAAGGUUUAUAAAUGAAAUAAAUAGUGAAAAGGCUAAAUAAAUAUAUUUUGUAAUAAAGAAAUGUUCUUAGGGAUUUAUUAGAAUAAUUGGUAUGAUUUAUAAAAGGAUCAAACAAGAAAAUUCAGAUUUUUAGCAUAAAAUCACCUACCAACUAGUUUUACACAAUCACAUAUAACUUUUAAUCAAAUUGAUGAAUCGAGCUGCAAUUUUACAUGAAGUCUAUUAACAUGUUUCCCAAUUUUAUGUUAACAUUUCAAGUCAAUAAAAGUUUUUUAAGGGCUCCUAAUUUAAACAAAAAACUAGGUAGUCUAUGUGAGAAAUUUAAACAUGCAUAAAUGAGUAACAAACUUGUAAAUAAAUUGAACAGUGCCACCCAUUUCCUCUUUAAAAAUCUGAUGAAGAGCUCAUUAAGAGUUUUCUCUUGUAAAAUUAAGUGAUUUUCUCUUAGGUUUUGUGAGAUUAAUGUGUGUUUAUGAUGAUUUUAGAGAGACAUUUUUAGAAUGAAUUUGAAGAUGAAAUCAAAACAAGAAAGUGUGGUAGAGAGAUAAAGCUUGGAACUACGUAGGAUAAAGCAAAAAUGAAAGAGAUGGCCAAGAAAAACACAUGAAACUUUUUACAAAUACCUUGGGUAAGUGGAGUUUCACAAUUGAUUCUUCUUGUGUUGAUGAUAUAUGGUGUCAUAACCUCUUUUUUAGUUAUUCUUCAAAUUCACCUUUUUCUUUCCAAAUAAAAAUAAAAUAAAAACUAACAUUUUAACAAAAGAAAGCUAGGAGGAUUUUACAUGUAGAAAAAAAAAUCAAGCUACAAUUUUGGAUGGAAUUAGAAGCUUAAUUGUACCCCUAUUUGACCCAAACUAGAGAGACAAUGCAAAUUCAAGGUCAAGUUACAUGAUUAUUGGACGAAUCUGCAUAAAAAUUAAGUCCAAGAACAUAAUUAGAUUUUUAAUAAACCAAUUUAAUUUAAUUAAGGGCCAAAUUAAAGUUUCAUUAUGUUUAAAAAUUAAUUUUGGUCUAAUUGAAGGAUUUAAUUAGGUGCAAUGACUUAAUUAUACUUUAAAUGGGUCAAAUUAAUUUUAUUAGGGUAAUUGGUGAAAAAUUAAGUUUAAUGGCCUAAUUUGGGCUUAAUUAAAAAGAUUGAAUUUUAGAAAACUAAAUUUAAUUUUUACCAAGUCAAUUGAUUCGAAUUAGGGGUAAAAUUGCAAGAAAAUCAAAGUUUUGGAGUCAAUUAAGGGCUAUAUUGAAGAAAUUCGCAGCCAACGACCAUUUUAAAAAGGCGUCGAACUCUAAGGACCUAAUUGGCUGAAAUCAUGGGUGAAAUCGAAUAGAUUUGAAAGUUUAUGGUCAAUUAGUUGUUAAAUUGAAGAAAUCCGAAACUAAUCACCAAAAUGAAAAAGACACUAAAAUUCGAGUAAAAUUGCACAAAAUUGAUAGUUUGAAACCAAUCAAUGGUGUAAUUGAGAGAAAUCACAAAUCAAAGGACUAAGAUGAACUUUACUAAAACAACAUCGUUUUGGGUUAUUGUUCAUCUUCUUCUUCAGAUUUUCACCGAAAAGCUGCUCAAGUGGCCUCCUUCCCAAGGCAUUUAAUGUUUCAUUUUUCCACAAAAUUUGGCAAAACUUGCACGCAAACGACGACUUGACAUCUGACUAUACCGUAAAACAGUCCUUUUUGGUCGAUUGACGCCACAACGACUGUUGUAACCCAUUUUUGGGUCCCCAUAAAAAAAUAAUAAAUACAAAAAAAAAAAAAAACAAAACAAAACGGUGUCGUUUUGAAACGGCACCAUCGUCUUCUUCCCCUGGAUGCGCAGAGAACAGGGGAGAAGAAUCGUUUUUUUCUUCUCUUUUUGCCUACUUUCUUUCCCGGCUUUGGCGCAAUAAGACGCCCACAAUUCACCCACUUGCCUGGCGUUGUUAUCCGUUGAAGGUAGUGGAGGGGGCGGCCAACAGUAGCCGCCCCAACACGUUCUCCCUCCCCUGUUUUCCUAUAAAUAUAGGGGAGGGCUGCUGAAAGGAAAAAAAAAAAGACCAAGAAAGGGGGGGACCGAGAGAGAGGGAACAGAAGGGAGAAGAGAGGGAGAAGAGGGAGAAGAGAAGGGAGAACACAGAAGAAGAAGAAGAAGAAGAAGCAGCAGAGGAGAAAAUAAAGAAAACAGAGGAGAGAGAGAAGGAAAACGCAGAUCCACCGCCGGCCACCCCACUGUCAGCGCCGCUUCCUGUCCCCACCAGCAGCUCCGCCAUCGACGACAGCCACCACAGGUCAGCCCUCAACACCUUAUCUUGUUUUACUGUUCAUCUUCUUGCAUGCAGAACGUGCACUGUGCACGUUCUGCAAGCCAUGAAUUAAUUACCCGGUUACUGUGCAUGUGCACAGUAACUUGGCUAAUUAAUUCACGGGCCCCGGUUACUAUGCACGCUGAUUAAUUCUCUGGUUACUGUGCACACAGUAACCCGGUUACUAUGUACACAGUAACCAGCCCAUGCAUUUUGGCCAUGUUCGGCCCAGCCCAUGUAAAAGGGCCAGGUUUGGCCCAACCCAUGCAAUUGAGCCUGAUCCGGCCCAUAAAAAAAAGAAAAAAAAGAAAAAAUAUUAUUGUUUUAAAAAAUAUUUAUGAUGUUCCCAUUUUUUAUUUAUGUUAUUUUUAUUAAUAUCGGGUAGUAUUUUUAUGUCGUAAAAAUACAAAUCGGGUAUUAAAAUACCCGGUUUUUUUGUCACAAAUUUUCAAAAAUACAAAAAAAUUAAAAAAAAAACAUUUUUGUGCAUACGACCAAGUGUCUCAAAUCUAAAAUAUCAUAUCGUAUUUUUUAUAUGUCAAAAAAAAAUAUUUUAGCAUGCAUUUUGGCUUUAAUAACCAGUUUAUUAAAGUCAAGAGAACAUUGGCCAAAAUCUCAAAAACAACAAAAUAUUUUAUUUUGUUUGAUUUUAGUAUCAAGGAUUAUGAAUUUAUACGUAAAUCGUAUUCCUGAUAUUAAAAAGAUAUUUUCUUUUGAAGGCUUCGAAUAGUUAGUUUUUUACCCGAUAAAGAUAAGGAUCUCCUUACAGGAGGACUUUUCUUAAACCGUAAACGAACCAACAAUUCAAAAACCACAACACGAUUUUAGAUUUUAUCAGACAUUAAAACAAUGCAGCCUACCUUAGGUAGGGCGUAGUUGGGGUGCUAAUACCUUCCCUUUACGCAACCAGUCUCCGUACCCGAUCUCUAAAGACCAGUUAAGGUUCCUAGUAACCAGAAUACUAGGUGGCGACUCCCAGUCCAUAUUUUCACUUGUAGAGACAAGAAUUCCUUGUCUCUCCGCAUUUUUUCCAGGAAUAAAUUAUUCCGAUUUUUCCUUGAGGGUGGACGAUCGCCGCGCCGCCGCACACGUGCGACAACGACUAUGACACAACCCCAAAGUGGCCAACCCGACCAACCUUUUCUUGCAACAAAUCUGACAACCCAUGAUAGCCGCAUUCAACCAAUGUUUGUGAUCUUUUCGAGUCAAUUAGGGGCCAAGAUUUGGUACCAUUAAAGAUAAAAUAUCCCUCUUCCACCCCUUAUAAAUAUGGGUGGAUUUCAUGGCUUGUGGGAGAAUAAAAUCAGGUUCAUAGUCGAUAAAAAAUCAGACCCCCCCUCGUUUUGCUUCCACUGUGAUCUUCUAUCUUUUUCCCCUCUCUCCAUUGUGAUCUUCAACCACCAACACUCUCACAACGGUUUGUCCACCACCAUCUCCACCACAAGCGACCAGUCGACCACCUCACGUUAGGAGUGGCCACCGCAAAGUUCUUUCUCCUGUGCAAGCUUCUUCUUCCUUAUCUAACAACCAACCACAAUCAUCAAUUCUCUAUCAACAUUGUCACCAACCUCACGUCAGCCAACCAGACCACCAACAAUGCUCCCUAGCCCAAGUAUAGUUAGGAGUCCUAAUACAAUCCAACAUCUACAGUGUCAGAAGCACCGGUACCAACCCCUGCAAUUGUAGAGGCAUUUAUCAAUGAGUCUCACAAGACCCAAGUCAUCUAAUGACAUUGAUCAAGAUAACGUGGCAGCGCUGGAAGCUAUAAUCAGGGCUAUUGAAAGGAUAAACUUGUAUGACCCAAUAUAAGUUGCAGAGAUGUGUCGUUCCAAAUAUGGUGGUGUCAAAGAAAUUUCAUGUUCCUAAAUUUAUUAAAUACACUAGAAUACAAUGUCUCAUGACUGAUUUCAAGAUAGUUUGAGUGGAGCAACAGUGAACUGGUAUGUGAGAUUAGACAACACCAAGAUCCAUAGAUGGAAAGAUCAAGUGAAUGCUUUUGUCAAGCAGUACAAGUACAACAUUAAUAUCACUCCCAAUAGAACCAACUUAUCCAACCCGAAAAAAAAAAAAAGGAUAAAAAAAGCAUAAGGUAAUAUGCCUAGAGAUUGAGAGAUCUAGUUGCACAAGUGCAUCCCUCAUAGUUUGUUAGAGAAAUAGUCACUCUAUUUGCCAAAACAUUCAAGGCACCGCACUACAAGAAUGUGAUGGGUAGUUUAAGCUAGCAAUUCAACGACGUUGUGGCAAUAGUUGAAUGCAUCGAACAAUAAGUCCUGACUAUUGGCCCAACAAACUAGAUUAGGCUGGGCUUGAGCUUUAGGCCGAAUAGACCCAACCCAUGUAGUUUAGCCAAGCCCAACCCAAACAUUAAGGCGAGUUUGGCUCAUGCUAAAUUUGUUAAAGAAAUAAAGCUUUGUUUUGGUCUUUAAGGCGUGUUUGCCAAACAUUGCCUUAAAACAUUUUUAAUGCCUCUAAUUUUAGGCUAAGGUCACGUUUGGAAAACACACCCUAAGCCUUUUCCUUUCAAUUUUAAAUUUGUUCUUAUUUUAGAGUCUCACUAAUCAAGCCUUUAAAAAUUUCAAAACAUUCUAAGAAAAUUCAACAUCUUAAAAAUAUUUGUGGGCCUCUCGCAUGUUUUUUUAACAAAUUUAUUUAAUAUUGAGUUAUAGACUUACACCGUAAGGUAUGAAUUCAAUAUUAAAAAUACUUGUUUUUCCUAAAAAAAAUGAAAAAAUCCUAAAUAUUUUUUUUAAAAUUUCUUAUUCCAAAAAUCUCGAAAAUAAGUUUUUUUCACCAUAAUUUUAUUUAAUAUUAGGUUGUAGACUUACAUAUAAAAUACAAACUCAGUAUUAAAAUACCUGAUUCUUCUCUAAAAUUUUAAAAUUUCAAAAGAUUGAAAAACACAGAAAUUGUGUUUUGUUUUCAUGUAUACAAUCGAAUUCUAGAGGUUUCAUGCAUAUUUUCUAGAAAAAUAUAAAUUGUAACUAGUUUAUGAUUGUCGCUUUAACCAAAAUACCAAAAAUCCUUCAACAAUUAUUAUUUUUAAUUAAUAUAAAAUGUUAGGAAUUAGUUGUUAAAAUUACAUUAUACAAUACCUUAGGUGUUAAAAAUACAAAAUAAAAAAUAAGUAUUAUGCUAAAAUUAAAGCCUUAGAACGAUUAAAAUUUAACUCGAUAAGGUAUAGACUUCCUCACGAAGGGAGAUCUGC
This 33441-nucleotide long non-coding RNA is filed under the name Populus tremula. RNAcentral describes it as "long non-coding RNA (PTRE_LNC003236)". The record is from RNAcentral. Lineage: Eukaryota; Viridiplantae; Streptophyta; Magnoliopsida; Malpighiales; Salicaceae.